GUGAGGAAUAAUGGACAAUGGGCGCAAGCCUGAUCCAGCCAUGCCGCGUGCAGGAAGACGCAUCUAUGGUGUGUAAACUGCUUUUGUACGGGAAGAAACACUCCCUCGUGAGGGAGCUUGACGGUACCGUAAGAAUAAGGAUCGGCUAACUCCGUGCCAGCAGCCGCGGUAAUACGGAGGAUCCAAGCGUUAUCCGGAAUCAUUGGGUUUAAAGGGUCCGUAGGCGGUUUAAUAAGUCAGUGGUGAAAGCCCAUCGCUCAACGAUGGAACGGCCAUUGAUACUGUUAGACUUGAAUUACAAGGAAGUAACUAGAAUAUGUAGUGUAGCGGUGAAAUGCUUAGAUAUUACAUGGAAUACCAAUUGCGAAGGCAGGUUACUACUUGUGGAUUGACGCUGAUGGACGAAAGCGUGGGGAGCGAACAGGAUUAGAUACCCUUGUAGUCC
RNAcentral lists this ribosomal RNA (445 nucleotides) under uncultured bacterium. RNAcentral's name for it is "partial 16S ribosomal RNA". It matches the Rfam family "Bacterial small subunit ribosomal RNA", at positions 354 to 796 of the family's 1533-position model. The record is from RNAcentral.